Molecule: non-coding RNA, 25 nt
Filed under: Rattus norvegicus (Norway rat)
Lineage: Eukaryota; Metazoa; Chordata; Mammalia; Rodentia; Muridae
Source: RNAcentral
CCAAUUGGUGGGCUUUUCCCUAAGG